This 701-nucleotide ribosomal RNA is filed under the name uncultured Sphingomonas sp. RNAcentral describes it as "bacterial SSU rRNA". It matches the Rfam family "Bacterial small subunit ribosomal RNA", at positions 28 to 776 of the family's 1533-position model. Lineage: Bacteria; Pseudomonadati; Pseudomonadota; Alphaproteobacteria; Sphingomonadales; Sphingomonadaceae. The record is from RNAcentral.
AAUGAACGCUGGCGGCAUGCCUAACACAUGCAAGUCGAACGAAGGCUUCGGCCUUAGUGGCGCACGGGUGCGUAACGCGUGGGAGUCUGCCCUCAGGUUCGGAAUAACAGCGAGAAAUUGCUGCUAAUACCGGAUGAUAUCGCGAGAUCAAAGAUUUAUCGCCUGAGGAUGAGCCCGCGUAGGAUUAGCUAGUUGGUGUGGUAAAGGCGCACCAAGGCGACGAUCCUUAGCUGGUCUGAGAGGAUGAUCAGCCACACUGGGACUGAGACACGGCCCAGACUCCUACGGGAGGCAGCAGUGGGGAAUAUUGGACAAUGGGCGAAAGCCUGAUCCAGCAAUGCCGCGUGAGUGAUGAAGGCCUUAGGGUUGUAAAGCUCUUUUACCCGGGAUGAUAAUGACAGUACCGGGAGAAUAAGCUCCGGCUAACUCCGUGCCAGCAGCCGCGGUAAUACGGAGGGAGCUAGCGUUAUUCGGAAUUACUGGGCGUAAAGCGCACGUAGGCGGCUUUGUAAGUUAGAGGUGAAAGCCUGGAGCUCAACUCCAGAAUUGCCUUUAAGACUGCAUCGCUUGAAUCCAGGAGAGGUGAGUGGAAUUCCGAGUGUAGAGGUGAAAUUCGUAGAUAUUCGGAAGAACACCAGUGGCGAGGCGGCUCACUGGACUGGUAUUGACGCUGAGGUGCGAAAGCGUGGGGAGCAAACAGG